Topomyia yanbarensis is the source of this 431-nucleotide long non-coding RNA. RefSeq lists it as uncharacterized. NCBI's taxonomy places the organism in Eukaryota, Metazoa, Arthropoda, Insecta, Diptera, Culicidae. The transcript is spliced from 3 exons. The record is from RefSeq and is a predicted model, not a curated record.
GUUAUCAAUUUACCCUCAACGAGGUCAGCCGCCCCAGCUGCAAGCGGGACAGCGAGUAACUGACAAGUCAGUGGUAAACAAAAAAAAAAAAGGAUAGCGACGACGAAGAAAGAUAUCGAGAUUAAAAAAGUGGUUUGAGAUAGUCAUUAAAGCGAAAUUAAAUUGAAACUCUAAUAGCUAGAAGUACGGUUUAGGAUUGUUUUAAGGUUGCUUAUAUAUUGCUUUACAUUAGUACGGAGUGGAUUAACAGCUAAAAGUACGGUGCUGAAUUCUUAUAAUUAAUAGUACGGUUGAGUUUAUUAAAGGCUAGAGGACUGUUACAGCUAGUUCGUGCUAUUGAAGCAUCGCAGAUAACCGAGCUCAUGAUAAGGGUUAGACGACCGUACGAGACCAUUUCCCGGAAGUGACGGAAAUAAGUGAAAAUACUAAAC